GUUUGCCAGACAAUAAAUACAAAAGUUUAUCAGCGUUGGUUGAAAAUCCCCUGCGGCCCUGCCCGUGGCGCCCAGAGCCCCCGGGGCCUCAGCUCACCGCGCCCUGGUCCGUGUGGGGAGGUGACACCCGGGCCCGACAGCU
Molecule: small nucleolar RNA, 142 nt
Filed under: Canis lupus dingo (dingo)
Lineage: Eukaryota; Metazoa; Chordata; Mammalia; Carnivora; Canidae
Description: Small nucleolar RNA ACA64 (ENSCAFG00020021761.1)
Rfam family: Small nucleolar RNA ACA64 (bases 35-142)
Source: RNAcentral